RNAcentral lists this ribosomal RNA (1524 nucleotides) under uncultured bacterium. RNAcentral describes it as "bacterial SSU rRNA". It matches the Rfam family "Bacterial small subunit ribosomal RNA". The record is from RNAcentral.
AGAGUUUGAUCCUGGCUCAGGAUGAACGCUGGCGGCGUGCUUAACACAUGCAAGUCGAGCGAAGCGCUUCUGAUGAUUUCUUCGGAUUGAAUCAGCUGCGACUUAGCGGCGGACGGGUGAGUAACGCGUGGGCAACCUGCCCUGUACAGGGGGACAACAGUUAGAAAUGACUGCUAAUACCGCAUAAGCGCACAGCAUCGCAUGAUGCAGUGUGACAAACUCCGGUGGUACAGGAUGGACCCGCGUUGGAUUAGCUUGUUGGUGGGGUAAAGGCCUACCAAGGCGACGAUCCAUAGCCGGCCUGAGAGGGCGACCGGCCACAUUGGGACUGAGACACGGCCCAAACUCCUACGGGAGGCAGCAGUGGGGAAUAUUGCACAAUGGGGGAAACCCUGAUGCAGCGACGCCGCGUGAGCGAAGAAGUAUUUCGGUAUGUAAAGCUCUAUCAGCAGGGAAGAAAAUGACGGUACCUGACUAAGAAGCCCCGGCUAACUACGUGCCAGCAGCCGCGGUAAUACGUAGGGGGCAAGCGUUAUCCGGAUUUACUGGGUGUAAAGGGAGCGUAGACGGUAUGACAAGUCUGAAGUGAAAGGCAUGGGCUUAACCUGUGGACUGCUUUGGAAACUGUCACACUAGAGUACCGGAGGGGUAAGCGGAAUUCCUGGUGUAGCGGUGAAAUGCGUAGAUAUCAGGAGGAACACCGGUGGCGAAGGCGGCUUACUGGACGGAAACUGACGUUAAGGCUCGAAAGCGUGGGGAGCAAACAGGAUUAGAUACCCUGGUAGUCCACGCCGUAAACGAUGAAUGCUAGGUGUCGGCAGGUAUUCCUGUCGGUGCCGCCGCAAACGCAUUAAGCAUUCCACCUGGGGAGUACGUUCGCAAGAAUAAAACUCAAAGGAAUUGACGGGGACCCGCACAAGCGGUGGAGCAUGUGGUUUAAUUCGAAGCAACGCGAAGAACCUUACCAAGUCUUGACAUCCUGCUGACCGGCCCUUAACCGGGCCUUUCCUUCGGGACAGCAGAGACAGGUGGUGCAUGGUUGUCGUCAGCUCGUGUCGUGAGAUGUUGGGUCAAGUCCCGCAACGAGCGCAACCCCUGUCCCCAGUAGCCAGCACGUAGAGGUGGGCACUCUGAGGAGACCGCCAGGGACAACCUGGAGGAAGAUGGGGAUGACGUCAAAUCAUCAUGCCCCUUAUGACUUGGGCUACACACGUGCUACAAUGGCGUGGAACAAAGGGAAGCGAAAGGGCGACCCGGAGCAAAUCUCAGAAAACACGCCUCAGUUCGGACUGUAGUCUGCAACCCGACUACACGAAGCUGGAAUCGCUAGUAAUCGCAGAUCAGAAUGCUGCGGUGAAUACGUUCCCGGGUCUUGUACACACCGCCCGUCACACCAUGGGAGUCGGUAACGCCCGAAGCCUGUGACCCAACCGCAAGGAGGGAGCAGUCGAAGGCGGGGCUGAUAACUGGGGUGAAGUCGUAACAAGGUAGCCGUAUCGGAAGGUGCGGCUGGAUCACCUCCUU